GGGGAUGUAGCUCAGUGGUAGAGCACUUGCCUAGCACUGUGAGGCCCUGGGUUCCAUUCCCAGCAUCACAA
Molecule: transfer RNA, 71 nt
Filed under: Heterocephalus glaber (naked mole-rat)
Lineage: Eukaryota; Metazoa; Chordata; Mammalia; Rodentia; Bathyergidae
Rfam family: tRNA
About the family: Transfer RNA (tRNA) molecules are approximately 80 nucleotides in length. Their secondary structure includes four short double-helical elements and three loops (D, anti-codon, and T loops).
Source: Rfam by way of RNAcentral